Molecule: ribosomal RNA, 763 nt
Filed under: Mesodasys adenotubulatus
Lineage: Eukaryota; Metazoa; Gastrotricha; Macrodasyida; Lepidodasyidae
Description: SSU rRNA
Rfam family: Eukaryotic small subunit ribosomal RNA
Source: RNAcentral
UAGAUCGUGCGUUCUACGUGGAUAACUGUGGUAAUUCUAGAGCUAAUACAUGCAACUGGCCCUAACUUUACGGAGGGGCGCUUUUAUUAGAUCAAAAUCAAUCGGCUUCGGCCGUUUUUGUGAUGACUCUGGAUAACUUUGUGCCGGCCGCAUGGCCUUGUGCCGGCGGCGUAUCUUUCAAAUGUCUGCCCUGUCAACUUUCGAUGGUAGGUGACAUGCCUACCAUGGUUGUAACGGGUAACGGACAACAGGGUUCGAUUCCGGAGAGGGAGCCUGAGAAACGGCUACCACAUCCAAGGAAGGCAGCAGGCGCGCAAAUUACCCACUCCCGGCACGGGGAGGUAGUGGCGAAAAAUAACAAUGCUGAUUUUAAAUUCGGUAAUUGGAAUGAGUACACUUUAAAUCCUUUAACGAGGAUCUAGUGGAGGGCAAGUCUGGUGCCAGCAGCCGCGGUAAUUCCAGCUCCACGAGCAUGUACGUAAGUUGUUGCAGUUAAAAAGCUCGUAGUUGGAUCUCGGACCUGUGACCGGUGGUCUGCCCGAUUCGGGUAUGUACUGCCGUGUCCGGUCUACGUCUGGUAAUAUUGCAUAGUGCUCUUAACCGGGUGCUAUGUAAUGCCAGAAAGUUUACUGUGGGAAAAUUAGAGUGCUUAAGGCAGGCCUUGUGCUUGAAUACUGUUGCAUGGAAUAAUGGAAUAGGACCUCGGAUCUAUUUUGUUGGUUUUCGGAGUCGAGGUAAUGAUUAAGAGGGACAGACGGGGCAC